AACGAACGCUGGCGGCAUGCCUAACACAUGCAAGUCGAACGAGACCUUCGGGUCUAGUGGCGCACGGGUGCGUAACGCGUGGGAACCUGCCCUUAGGUUCGGAAUAACUCCCCGAAAGGGGUGCUAAUACCGGAUAAUGUCUUCGGACCAAAGAUUUAUCGCCUUUGGAUGGGCCCGCGUUGGAUUAGCUAGUUGGUAGGGUAAAAGCCUACCAAGGCGACGAUCCAUAGCUGGUCUGAGAGGAUGGUCAGCCACACUGGGACUGAGACACGGCCCAGACUCCUACGGGAGGCAGCAGUGGGGAAUAUUGGACAAUGGGCGAAAGCCUGAUCCAGCAAUGCCGCGUGAGUGAUGAAGGCCUUGGGGUUGUAAAGCUCUUUUACCCGGGAUGAUAAUGACAGUACCGGGAGAAUAAGCUCCGGCUAACUCCGCG
This 433-nucleotide ribosomal RNA is filed under the name uncultured bacterium. Its description in RNAcentral is "partial 16S ribosomal RNA". It matches the Rfam family "Bacterial small subunit ribosomal RNA", at positions 29 to 507 of the family's 1533-position model. The record is from RNAcentral.